This 85-nucleotide small nucleolar RNA is filed under the name Rhinolophus ferrumequinum (greater horseshoe bat). RNAcentral's name for it is "Small nucleolar RNA SNORD116 (ENSRFEG00010013642.1)". It matches the Rfam family "Small nucleolar RNA SNORD116". Rfam says of the family: HBII-85 is a member of the C/D class of snoRNAs, which contain the C (UGAUGA) and D (CUGA) box motifs. HBII-85 is encoded in a tandemly repeated array with another C/D snoRNA, HBII-52, in the Prader-Willi syndrome (PWS) region of chromosome 15. The record is from Rfam by way of RNAcentral. Lineage: Eukaryota; Metazoa; Chordata; Mammalia; Chiroptera; Rhinolophidae.
GGAUGGAUGAUGAUUCCCAGAUAUGCUCUCCUUGAAAAUCUGAACUAAAUGUAUGAGGUUUCCCCACCACCUUUUUAAAUUGUCA